RNAcentral lists this ribosomal RNA (252 nucleotides) under uncultured bacterium. RNAcentral's name for it is "partial 16S ribosomal RNA". It matches the Rfam family "Bacterial small subunit ribosomal RNA", at positions 525 to 776 of the family's 1533-position model. The record is from RNAcentral.
ACGGAGGGAGCUAGCGUUGUUCGGAAAUACUGGGCGUAAAGCGAACGUAGGCGGCCUAGCAAGUCAGGGGUGAAAUCCCGGGGCUCAACCCCGGAACUGCCCUUGAAACUGCUAAGCUAGAAUCCUGGAGAGGUCAGUGGAAUUCCGAGUGUAGAGGUGAAAUUCGUAGAUAUUCGGAAGAACACCAGUGGCGAAGGCGACUGACUGGACAGGUAUUGACGCUGAGGUUCGAAAGCGUGGGGAGCAAACAGG